UGACAGUGGAGAGUUUGAUCCUGGCUCAGGAUGAACGCUAGCGAUAGGCUUAACACAUGCAAGUCGAGGGGCAGCAUGAUCUUAGCUUGCUAAGGUUGAUGGCGACCGGCGCACGGGUGCGUAACGCGUAUGCAACUUGCCUUACAGAGGGGGAUAACCCGUUGAAAGACGGACUAAAACCGCAUACACUUGUAUUAUUGCAUGAUAUUACAAGGAAAUAUUUAUAGCUGUAAGAUAGGCAUGCGUCCCAUUAGCUUGUUGGUGAGGUAACGGCUCACCAAGGCGACGAUGGGUAGGGGAACUGAGAGGUUUAUCCCCCACACUGGUACUGAGACACGGACCAGACUCCUACGGGAGGCAGCAGUGAGGAAUAUUGGUCAAUGGGCGAGAGCCUGAACCAGCCAAGUCGCGUGAAGGAAGACAGUCCUAAGGAUUGUAAACUUCUUUUAUACGGGAAUAACGGGCGAUACGAGUAUUGCAUUGAAUGUACCGUAAGAAUAAGCAUCGGCUAACUCCGUGCCAGCAGCCGCGGUAAUACGGAGGAUGCGAGCGUUAUCCGGAUUUAUUGGGUUUAAAGGGUGCGUAGGUUGUUCGGUAAGUCAGCGGUGAAACCUGAGCGCUCAACGUUCAGCCUGCCGUUGAAACUGCCGGGCUUGAGUUCAGUGGCGGCAGGCGGAAUUCGUGGUGUAGCGGUGAAAUGCAUAGAUAUCACGAGGAACUCCGAUUGCGAAGGCAGCUUGCCAUACUGCGACUGACACUGAAGCACGAAGGCGUGGGUAUCAAACAGGAUUAGAUACCCUGGUAGUCCACGCAGUAAACGAUGAUUACUAGGAGUUUGCGAUAUACCGUCAAGCUUCCACAGCGAAAGCGUUAAGUAAUCCACCUGGGGAGUACGCCGGCAACGGUGAAACUCAAAGGAAUUGACGGGGGCCCGCACAAGCGGAGGAACAUGUGGUUUAAUUCGAUGAUACGCGAGGAACCUUACCCGGGAUUGAAAUGUAGAUGACGGAUGGUGAAAACCGUCUUCCCUUCGGGGCUUCUAUGUAGGUGCUGCAUGGUUGUCGUCAGCUCGUGCCGUGAGGUGUCGGCUUAAGUGCCAUAACGAGCGCAACCCACAUCGGUAGUUACUAACAGUUUUCGCUGAGGACUCUACCGAGACUGCCGUCGUAAGGCGUGAGGAAGGUGUGGAUGACGUCAAAUCAGCACGGCCCUUACAUCCGGGGCGACACACGUGUUACAAUGGGAGGGACAAAGGGCAGCUACCGGGCGACCGGAUGCGAAUCUCUAAACCCUUCCCCAGUUCGGAUCGGAGUCUGCAACUCGACUCCGUGAAGCUGGAUUCGCUAGUAAUCGCGCAUCAGCCAUGGCGCGGUGAAUACGUUCCCGGGCCUUGUACACACCGCCCGUCAAGCCAUGGGAGUCGGGGGUACCUGAAGGGCGUAACCGCAAGGGGCGCACUAGGGUAAUACCGGUGACUGGGGCUAAGUCGUAACAAGGUAGCCGUACCGGAAGGUGCGGCUGGAACACCUCCUUUCU
RNAcentral lists this ribosomal RNA (1536 nucleotides) under Porphyromonas gingivalis W83. RNAcentral describes it as "16S ribosomal RNA". It matches the Rfam family "Bacterial small subunit ribosomal RNA". The record is from RNAcentral. Lineage: Bacteria; Pseudomonadati; Bacteroidota; Bacteroidia; Bacteroidales; Porphyromonadaceae.